Gymnopus androsaceus JB14 is the source of this 96-nucleotide non-coding RNA. The record is from the annotation of a GenBank genome assembly. NCBI's taxonomy places the organism in Eukaryota, Fungi, Basidiomycota, Agaricomycetes, Agaricales, Omphalotaceae.
UCCAAUGUGGUGUAGUGGCCAACAUUGCUGUCUUUCAUUAGCUGUGGGCUUUACAUGUAUGCACAGCAGCCCGGGGUUCGAUUCCCCGCAUUGGAA